Molecule: non-coding RNA, 267 nt
Filed under: Cryptosporidium parvum
Lineage: Eukaryota; Apicomplexa; Conoidasida; Eucoccidiorida; Cryptosporidiidae
Source: RNAcentral
UAUUACACAACUUAAUAUAGCGCCUAUGAAUACUCAUCACUAAAAACAUUCCAAGUGAUCAACAACAUGACGGUAAAUCGCAGUCAUUAUUGCAGCUACAUUCAUUUUUUGUUAUUGAGCCUAGUUCAAAUAUUCCAUAGCCUAUCGAAAGACCGAUAAUAACGGAAAAGAAUAAUCCCCAAUUAAAUGUCAUAGCAAUUAGCAUUAAUAGAUAAUGCAUAAAGUAGUACAAAAUAGUUAAUAAUACAUUCGUACAUAUAACUUUUA